UACGGGGGGGGCAAGCGUUGUUCGGAAUUACUGGGCGUAAAGGGCUCGUAGGCGGCCAACUAAGUCAGACGUGAAAUCCCUCGGCUUAACCGGGGAACUGCGUCUGAUACUGGAUGGCUUGAGUUUGGGAGAGGGAUGCGGGAUUCCAGGUGUAGCGGUGAAAUGCGUAGAUAUCGGGAGGAACACCUGUGGCGAAGGCGGCCCCCUGGUUGGAUACUGACGCUGAGACGCGAAAGCGUGGGGAGCAAACAGG
This 253-nucleotide ribosomal RNA is filed under the name uncultured bacterium. Its description in RNAcentral is "partial 16S ribosomal RNA". It matches the Rfam family "Bacterial small subunit ribosomal RNA", at positions 524 to 776 of the family's 1533-position model. The record is from RNAcentral.